GCGGUUGUGGUGGAACGGCAGACACGCCAUCUUGAGGGGGUGGUGAGCGAACGCUCGUGAGGGUUCAAGUCCCUCCAACCGCACCA
This 86-nucleotide transfer RNA is filed under the name Veillonella sp. RNAcentral's name for it is "tRNA-Leu". It matches the Rfam family "tRNA". Rfam says of the family: Transfer RNA (tRNA) molecules are approximately 80 nucleotides in length. Their secondary structure includes four short double-helical elements and three loops (D, anti-codon, and T loops). Lineage: Bacteria; Bacillati; Bacillota; Negativicutes; Veillonellales; Veillonellaceae. RNAcentral also lists the same sequence under 1 other name. The record is from RNAcentral.